UUCACUCCCAGUGAGUUUGAGAGUUCUGCGCGGAAGAAGAGUUCCAGGAACUGGAAGAGGAGCAUUCGCUGUCAGGGCACCCAGCUGGGGAAGCUGAUUCAGGAAGGUCACCUGAAAACAGGAACGUACAAAGGAGGGUGCAGAAAGGCCAAUAGGUCACUGUUCCCGUCUGGUCACGCAACUGCAGUGUCUGACGAAGAUGAAGAAGCAGGAGAAGAAGAAGAUGAAGAAGAAGAAGAAGAAGAAGAAGAAGCAGAAGAAG
Long non-coding RNA from Pseudoliparis swirei, 262 nucleotides. RefSeq lists it as uncharacterized. The transcript is spliced from 4 exons. The record is from RefSeq and is a predicted model, not a curated record. Lineage: Eukaryota; Metazoa; Chordata; Actinopteri; Perciformes; Liparidae.